RNAcentral lists this ribosomal RNA (253 nucleotides) under uncultured bacterium. Its description in RNAcentral is "partial 16S ribosomal RNA". It matches the Rfam family "Bacterial small subunit ribosomal RNA", at positions 524 to 776 of the family's 1533-position model. The record is from RNAcentral.
UACGUAGGGGGCGAGCGUUGUCCGGAUUUAUUGGGCGUAAAGAGCGUGUAGGCGGCCAGGUAGGUCCGUUGUGAAAACUCGAGGCUCAACCUCGAGACGUCGAUGGAAACCAUCUGGCUAGAGUCCGGAAGAGGAGAGUGGAAUUCCUGGUGUAGCGGUGAAAUGCGCAGAUAUCAGGAAGAACACCUAUGGCGAAGGCGGGAUCCUGGGCCAGUACUGACGCUGAGGAGCGAAAGCGUGGGGAGCAAACAGG